UACAGAGGGUGCAAGCGUUGUUCGGAAUUAUUGGGCGUAAAGCGCGUGUAGGCGGCUUUGCAAGUCGGGUGUGAAAGCCCUCAGCUCAACUGAGGAAGUGCGCCCGAAACUGCAGAGCUUGAGUACCGGAGAGGAUGGUGGAAUUCCCCAAGUAGAGGUGAAAUUCGUAGAUAUGGGGAGGAACACCGGUGGCGAAGGCGACCAUCUGGACGGAUACUGACGCUGAGACGCGAAAGCGUGGGGAGCAAACGGG
This 253-nucleotide ribosomal RNA is filed under the name uncultured bacterium. RNAcentral describes it as "partial 16S ribosomal RNA". It matches the Rfam family "Bacterial small subunit ribosomal RNA", at positions 524 to 776 of the family's 1533-position model. The record is from RNAcentral.